UACGUAGGGGGCUAGCGUUGUCCGGAAUCAUUGGGCGUAAAGCGCGUGUAGGCGGCCCGGUAAGUCCGCUGUGAAAGUCGGGGGCUCAACCCUCGAAUGCCGGUGGAUACUGUCGGGCUCGAGUGCGGAAGAGGCGAGUGGAAUUCCUGGUGUAGCGGUGAAAUGCGCAGAUAUCAGGAGGAACACCGAUUGCGAAGGCAGCUCGCUGGGACGUUACUGACGCUGAGACGCGAAAGCGUGGGGAGCGAACAGG
Molecule: ribosomal RNA, 253 nt
Filed under: uncultured bacterium
Lineage: Bacteria
Description: partial 16S ribosomal RNA
Rfam family: Bacterial small subunit ribosomal RNA
Source: RNAcentral